GACGAACGCUGGCGGCGUGCCUAAUACCUGCAAGUUGAGCGCUGAAGGUUGGUACUUGUACCGACUGGAAGAGCAGCGACCGGGUGAGUAACGCGUGGGGAAUCUGCCUUUGAGCGGGGGACAACAUUUGGAAACGAAUGCUAAUACCGCAUAAAAACUUUAAACACAAGUUUUAAGUUUGACUGAUGCAAUUGCAUCACUCAAAGAUGAACCCGCGCUGUAUUAGCUAGUUGGUGAGGUAAAGGCUAACCAAGGCGAUGAUACAUAGCCGACCUGAGAGGGUGAUCGGCCACAUUGGGGCUGAGACACGGCCCAAACUCCUACGGGAGGCAGCAGUAGGGAAUCUUCGGCAAUGGACGAAAGUCUGACCGAGCAACGCCGCGUGAGUGAAGAAGGUUUUCGGAUCGUAAAACUCUGUUGGUAGAGAAGAACGUUGGUGAGAGUGGAAAGCUCAUCAAGUGACGGUAACUACCCAGAAAGGGACGUCUAACUACGUGCCAGCAGCCGCCGUAA
Molecule: ribosomal RNA, 513 nt
Filed under: uncultured bacterium
Lineage: Bacteria
Description: partial 16S ribosomal RNA
Rfam family: Bacterial small subunit ribosomal RNA
Source: RNAcentral